GGUUGUGGCUCAGCGGGAGAGUGCUCGCCUUGCAUGUGCAAGGCGCUGGGUUCAAUCCUCAGCAUCA
Molecule: transfer RNA, 67 nt
Filed under: Marmota monax (woodchuck)
Lineage: Eukaryota; Metazoa; Chordata; Mammalia; Rodentia; Sciuridae
Description: tRNA.Ala
Source: RNAcentral